UGUUUUUUUAAUGGCGCCUGAGAAUGUUAUUUUAGUCGAGACCGCCAGGUCGAGACCUAAAAGACAUUCGAAGGCGCCAUUAAAACAUGAAUUUCGCCACGAAAUACAAACAACGUUUUUUCUACAGCCUCCAGAUGAAGAAAAAAGUAACAGAAAUUAGUUGGAACAAAAUGGUCUGAUAAAUCGAGUUGCUUGCAUGGUUACGAUGAUAAAUAAAAGUGAUAGUUGCGAAAAAUUUGUCACAAUAGGUAUUUUUGUUGAAGAAGUGUGAUGGAUUUUAGCAGCGAAAACGAAAUAGAUGCAAUUGCAAGCGCGGCAGUGUCGAAUCUUUUGCCUGCUAAAUCAAGACCGCAGUACGAAAAAACGUAUCUUCAGUUUCGGCAGUGGUGUUCUAUGAAAAAGAUUGAUCAAGUAACGGAAAAUGUUUUGUUGGCGUAUUUGGAAGAAAAGUCUACCACCUUAAAGCCACCAACACUCUGGGCCCUUUAUGCGAUGUUGAAAGCCACCUUAAACGUUAAAGAGAAUAUCGAUACACAAGCAAGAAGUCGCAAAUUUUAGACAAAGAAGACAUUAGCAAGUUUAUUAAUGAAGCAGAUGACAAGAUAUAUUUACUGAUGAAGGUAAACUUAUCAUAUUAGUGUAAUACAAAUCAAAACAACUCGUUUUAUUUAUAGACUGUGCUAAUUUUGGGUAUAUCGGGAGCCCUUCGACGUGAAGAAUUAGUUAAAAUGAAGCUAACUGACAUAGAAGAUAAACAGUCUGUCUUAAUUGUGAAGGUGCCUGAUACAAAAACCCACUGCGAACGAAUAUUUACUGUUUCAAAUUUAGAAAAUAUAGAAAUUGUCAGAAAAUAUAGAGCUUUGCGGCCUCCACGGGCGACUAGUGACCGUUUAUUUUUAAAGUAUACCAACGGAAAAUGUGUGAAUCAAAAUGUUGGAAUUAACAAAAUCGGAGAGAUACCAAGUUUGAUUGCAAAGUGGCUUAACAAAGACGAACCUAAAAAAUAUACUGGUCACUGCUUCAGAAGAAGCUCUGCCACUCUUUUGGCGAAUGCUGGAGGUGAUCUAAUUUCAAUUAAACGUCAUGGGGGCUGGAGAAGCAGCACAGUGGCAGAAAGUUACAUCGAGGACUCUUUGAAUAAUAAAAUUGAAAUUGCCAAUAAAAUUCAACCUUCUUCCUCCACAGAAGAAAACAAAAUCACUCAACCUUCUACAUCGGCUUCUUUUAAUGGCGAAAAUAACUUUCAUUUACAAGCGUCUUCACUCAGGCCUCUGGGGAUAAACGGGGGCACGUUUUCGUCAUGCACAUUUAAUUUUCAUAUGUCAAAGUAAAUAUCUAUUAUUAUUGUUUUGUAAUAUUGUUCUGUAUAAUUAUAAAACCUUUAAAACUA
This is an RNA transcript of Tribolium castaneum (red flour beetle), 1390 nucleotides long. RefSeq lists it as uncharacterized. NCBI's taxonomy places the organism in Eukaryota, Metazoa, Arthropoda, Insecta, Coleoptera, Tenebrionidae. The record is from RefSeq and is a predicted model, not a curated record. The transcript has 2 exons.